ACUAUUUUGGCAGAUAAGUGUAAUAAAUUUAGAAUUUAUUAAUGUAGAAUUGUUUUCUAUGAGUAGUA
This 68-nucleotide transfer RNA is filed under the name Balta jinlinorum. RNAcentral describes it as "tRNA-Leu". The record is from RNAcentral. Lineage: Eukaryota; Metazoa; Arthropoda; Insecta; Blattodea; Pseudophyllodromiidae.